GAUGAACGCUAGCGGCAGGCCUAACACAUGCAAGUCGAGGGAGAAGCCUUUCGGGGCAGAAACCGGCGCACGGGUGCGUAACGCGUAUGCAACCUACCUUUCACAGGGGGAUAGCCCGAAGAAAUUUGGAUUAAUACCCCAUAAUAUUGUUUGAUGGCAUCAUUGGACAAUUAAAACUGAGGUGGUGAAAGAUGGGCAUGCGUCCUAUUAGCUAGUUGGAGUGGUAACGGCACCCCAAGGCUACGAUAGGUAGGGGUCCUGAGAGGGAGAUCCCCCACACUGGUACUGAGACAGGGACCAGACUCCUACGGGAGGCAGCAGUGAGGAAUAUUGGUCAAUGGUCGGAAGACUGAACCAGCCAUGCCGCGUGCAGGAAGAAUGCCUUAUGGGUUGUAAACUGCUUUUAUAUGGGAAGAAUAAGGUGUACGUGUACAUUGAUGACGGUACCAUAUGAAUAAGCAUCGGCUAACUCCGUGCCAGCAGCCGCGGUAAUACGGAGGAUGCGAGCGUUAUUCGGAAUCAUUGGGUUUAAAGGGUCUGUAGGCGGGCUAUUAAGUCAGGGGUGAAAGGUUUCAGCUUAACUGAGAAAUUGCCUUUGAUACUGGUAGUCUUGAAUAUCUGUGAAGUUCUUGGAAUGUGUAGUGUAGCGGUGAAAUGCUUAGAUAUUACACAGAACACCGAUUGCGGAGGCAGGGGACUAACAGACGAUUGACGCUGAGAGACGAAAGCGCGGGGAGCGAACAGG
Molecule: ribosomal RNA, 745 nt
Filed under: uncultured Capnocytophaga sp.
Lineage: Bacteria; Pseudomonadati; Bacteroidota; Flavobacteriia; Flavobacteriales; Flavobacteriaceae
Description: bacterial SSU rRNA
Rfam family: Bacterial small subunit ribosomal RNA
Source: RNAcentral